UAUAUUUUAGUAUAUGAUGUACUUAGGCCUUUGAUGUCUAAAGAGAUAGUUUAAUUCUAUUAAAUAUAA
RNAcentral lists this transfer RNA (69 nucleotides) under Agrilus mali. Its description in RNAcentral is "tRNA-Gln". Lineage: Eukaryota; Metazoa; Arthropoda; Insecta; Coleoptera; Buprestidae. The record is from RNAcentral.